RNAcentral lists this ribosomal RNA (321 nucleotides) under uncultured eukaryote. RNAcentral's name for it is "partial 18S ribosomal RNA". It matches the Rfam family "Eukaryotic small subunit ribosomal RNA", at positions 1470 to 1796 of the family's 1831-position model. The record is from RNAcentral.
CCCUUAGAUGUUCUGGGCCGCACGCGCGCUACACUGAUGCAUUCAACGAGCCUAUCCCUGACCGACAGGUCCGGGUAAUCUUUGAAUCUGCAUCGUGACGGGGAUAGAUUAUUGCAAUUAUUAAUCUUCAACGAGGAAUGCCUAGUAGGCACAAGUCAUCAGCUUGUGUUGAUUACGUCCCUGCCCUUUGUACACACCGCCCGUCGCUCCUACCGAUUGAAUGUUCCGGUGAGCUCUUCGGACUGCGCGGUCUGCAGUUUCUGCGUUCCGUGCGGAAAGUUGCGCAAACCUUAACAUUUAGAGGAAGGAGAAGUCGUAACA